Molecule: transfer RNA, 73 nt
Filed under: Aedes aegypti (yellow fever mosquito)
Lineage: Eukaryota; Metazoa; Arthropoda; Insecta; Diptera; Culicidae
Rfam family: tRNA
About the family: Transfer RNA (tRNA) molecules are approximately 80 nucleotides in length. Their secondary structure includes four short double-helical elements and three loops (D, anti-codon, and T loops).
Source: Rfam by way of RNAcentral
CCUCUCGUGGCGAAGGGGUAACGCAUUCUAUCUAGAGAACGGGGAGUCGUGAGUUCGAUUCUCACCGAGAAGA